CUCCAGCACAUUAGCUAGGGGGUCUCUCCUGGCUUCAGAGGGUCUUAUGCAUGCAGCCCCUGAAACUUGGGAGCCACGCUAGGAGAUCCCCAGGGCAUCAUGUAGACUGCAGGCUGCUUGUCUGGAGAACUGAGAAUGAAAUGACCAGAAGCACUAGUCACUGAGAAGGGGGACAGCUCCAGGAAGAACAGGGAGUUCACACCAGCUGGGAGUGUGCUUGCUUCCCGCCCACCCACAGCUCCUGGGGCAAACAAAUUCUUGGCGAGCAGGAAGUCCUCCCUGAUUUUCUGGCCAGAAGAAAUCACUCCCUACUUGUACUCAAAGGAAGAAUUUCCUGCCCCACCCUCCUAGAAAAAAAGUUUGGAAACUUGUGCUAGUGUUUCCCAACCAGACUAUGGAAUGGCUGCGAAACUGAGUCUUUCAGAGGAGCUUGACUUUCCCUGCCACGGAGCUCCAUCUCCCAGGACACGGCUGCUGCUCUGCACUCUUUACAGAUAAAGGAAAUACAUUUAAGUGGACCCAAGAAGAAUGCAUCAGUGACAAAGAGAACUCGACCAUGUUUCCAGGUUUCAGUAACUAAAGAUACCUAAGAUCGCAUCUGUAUUCUUCCUCUCACUAGCUGCAGGCUCCUGGCCAAGCCUCACAUGCCACAAUUUCUUUGCAUGUAAAAUAUGGGAAUAUACUAACCUGGCUUGUUAUGUAAUUUAAAAUAAAAAUAA
This is a long non-coding RNA of Talpa occidentalis (Iberian mole), 719 nucleotides long. RefSeq lists it as uncharacterized. The transcript is spliced from 6 exons. The record is from RefSeq and is a predicted model, not a curated record. NCBI's taxonomy places the organism in Eukaryota, Metazoa, Chordata, Mammalia, Eulipotyphla, Talpidae.